GUGUUCGCUUCGACGGCACAUACACUAAAAUUGGAACAAUGCAGAUUAGCAUGGCCCCUGUGCAAGGAUGACUCAAAAAUUCGUGAAGCAUUCCAUAUUUUA
Molecule: small nuclear RNA, 102 nt
Organism: Myotis lucifugus (little brown bat)
Lineage: Eukaryota; Metazoa; Chordata; Mammalia; Chiroptera; Vespertilionidae
Source: Ensembl